CGCUUAGAUGCUGAUUCCAGGUCUUAGCUCCCAUAUAACUAAAACUUCUCUUCAUAGAGUUUGUAUUUGGUUUUGACAGUCCUAGGAAUUUGCCAUUACUUCUUAAUUUAUAAUUAGAAUUGUUGCAUUUUUCAAAAAGGCAACCUAUUAUCUCCGGACCAUUAUCAUUCAUAACAUUACUCAUACAUUUUUCCAUGAGAUUUUGUCGCCUUUCAUCCAGUGUUUUCCAGCCUAACUUAAGUAAUAUUUGUUUUGAUCGAACAUCAUAAUUAUCACCUGUGAUAACCCUUGCCGC
Molecule: non-coding RNA, 295 nt
Organism: Paramuricea clavata
Lineage: Eukaryota; Metazoa; Cnidaria; Anthozoa; Malacalcyonacea; Plexauridae
Source: the annotation of a GenBank genome assembly